This 468-nucleotide ribosomal RNA is filed under the name uncultured bacterium. Its description in RNAcentral is "partial 16S ribosomal RNA". It matches the Rfam family "Bacterial small subunit ribosomal RNA", at positions 28 to 507 of the family's 1533-position model. The record is from RNAcentral.
GACGAACGCUGGCGGCGUGCUUAACACAUGCAAGUCGAACGGAAAGGCGCUGCUUUUGUGGGUUUCUCGAUUGGCGCACGGGUGUGUAACACGUGAGUAACCUGCCCUUGACUUUGUGAUAACUUCAGGAAAAUCGGGCUAUUACCGGAUAGGAGCUCCUGAUGCAUGGUGGGGGUUGGAAAGUUUCGGCUGUUGGGGAUGGACUCGCAGCUUAUCAGCUUGUUGGUGGGGUAGUGGCUGACCAAGGCUUUGACGGGUAGCCGGCAUGAGAGGCUGACCGGCCACAAUGGGACUGAGAGACGGCCCAGUAUCCAACGGGAGGCAGCAGUGGGGAAUAUUGCGCAAUGGGCGGAAGCCUGAGACAGCAACGCCGCGUGCGUGAUGACGGCCUUCGGGGUGUAAACCGCUUUCGACGGUGACGAAGCGUGAGUGACGGUAAUGGGUAAAGAAGCACCGGCUAACUACGUG